UGAGCAAUCUGCCCUUCUCAUCGGAAUAAGCGUUGGAAACGACGUCUAAUGCCGAAUACGACCUCCUUUCGCAUGAUCGGAGGUGGAAAGCUCCGGCGGAGAAGGAUGAGCUCGCGGCCUAUCAGCUAGUUGGUGUGGGUAAUGGCCCACAAGGCGACGACGGGUAGCCGGCCUGAGAGGGUGACCGGCCGCACUGGGACUGAGACACGGCCCAGCUCCGUAGGAG
Molecule: ribosomal RNA, 226 nt
Filed under: uncultured bacterium
Lineage: Bacteria
Description: partial 16S ribosomal RNA
Rfam family: Bacterial small subunit ribosomal RNA
Source: RNAcentral